Long non-coding RNA from Felis catus (domestic cat), 2218 nucleotides. RefSeq lists it as uncharacterized. The record is from RefSeq and is a predicted model, not a curated record. Lineage: Eukaryota; Metazoa; Chordata; Mammalia; Carnivora; Felidae. The transcript has 3 exons.
GAGGGGGCGGGGCUGUUGUAAACUGAAAGUCCAUUGGGCUAAACUGGAAGUGUAGUGGCUCUUCAUUGGCUGAGCUGUGACUGUCUCUCAUUGGCUGGACUGUUGCUGGGGGAGGAGGAAACUUUCCUUCCUCUAGCCUGGUAGCCGGUAGCCCGCAAGGCGUAGGUCUCCUGUCUGGACUCGAUUUUGAGGAGUGGUCGGGGAUGAGAGCUGCCGGUGCUGGCCUCCCAGCUCCGUUCCAAGGUCAUGGACAGGCCCAGCGGGCGCGUAUUUGAAUGGAAGACGGUACUCUGGAGACGGGAGAGAUCGUGCAGCGCAGCGUGCCAAGUCGUAUCUUUCUGACUCAGGACACAGCUUCUUCAUUCCUUUAUACGGCUGCAGAGAAACCCUGCAAAAUAAUUUUCAGAGUUUUUCUAAGAUAAGGACAGACACCAAUACCAAUUAAACACAGACUCACAUAUGCUCCAGCAACCCCAGCCCUGAGCACACACCCAGAGUGAAGGCAGGGACCUGAAGACACUCGCCCAUCGUGUGCACACAGCGAGUCACGGCAGCCAGAACUCGCUCGCCAUCCCAGCGUCCGUCUGGGGCCGAAGGAAUGGGCAAAGAAAAUGCAGUGGGGCCACACAACGGAAGACUGUUCGGCCUUAAAAAGGAGGGGAAAUCUGUCAGUGCAGAUUCUGCUCGGUGCAAUCAGCCAGUCACAAAGGACGAACACUGUAUGUUUCACCUCUGUGAGGUCCCUGGAGUCAUCAGGGCCGGAGGAGGACGGUGGGGACCCCCAGAGGUCCCCAGAGAAGUGGGGCCAGGAGGGUGCGGGAGCGGGGGGCGCUGAUAGGCUGUGGGCAGCUCCACUGUGGUGCCAGAUGCCGGGGACCCUCGGUCACCCUCCACCACAGUGCUUGCGGGGAGAGAGGAGGUGAGACUCUGCAAGGUUGAGGGGGAUGGGGUCAGGGGUGUCCAAGGACUAGAGAAAAUGAGCACUGAGGGUUCCGGGGUGUGGAUGUGUGUAGGGGGAGGUGGGGGCCAGGCUGAACAAACAAACGAUGGGUGCCUGCACGCAUGGAGGAAUGAACGGAUGAGCUUCUGAGACGCGGACAGUCACGGCACAGGCUCCUGGGUGUGAGUGGGGGUGCAGGGCGGUGGAGACCCCAUCUGUCCCCACAGCCCACAUCUGCCCCCCAAAGCUCCAUUCCCCCGUUCCUGUGUCCUGCAGGUGGGACGGAUGCCCUUCCUGUCCCCACAGAUGUCAGACCUUUGCCCCUCAGCCAGAAACACUUCACCCUUUCCCAGGUCUGGAUCAGAUUAACAGAGGCCGACACAGGGAGGAUGAGGGUAGGGAUAGAAUAGGGGCUCCGAGCGCAGGACAGCACAGUUCCCCAAGGAAAGCAGGGCCUGUGGCCCUGCCCCCACCGUCUCCUCCUCUGCCAGGGCAAGAGGAAGUGUGCCCGGGGCCACAACUGGCAGGAAGAGCAGAAUGACCUGCUAAAUCCACUUGGCCUGAGGGAAGCCAGGUCUGGGGGUGGGGGAGCCACCCACUGGAGCCAGCCCGGCCAAACUGGGGAGAGCAGGCAGGACCGGGUCCGUGCUGUGCAGGGGUCUUCGGGCAGGGAGCUGGGGCCCCCGGGCUGCCCCUGGAUAUGGGCAUGGCCGAGGGAGGAAGCCCUGACCUAGAAGGGCUCUGAGCCCAGGGCACAGGCCGUUUACCAUGCAGGCUCUAAACAUGGGCCCCAGCCACCAGCCCUGAGCCCUGUGGGUAGGGGGUGGCUCCCUCUAAGGGAGCCAAGUCCCGCGCUGGGGUCUGCAGGAGGCGCCGUGUCCUGGAACCCGGGCUCAGACAGGUGCCGCCUGUGGACAGUCAGGGACACCAACCCAGAGAGGCCAAGGGAGGGGCCUGGGCACUGAGGCAGGCAGCCCCGGCUCCAGGUCCAAGCCAGCCCCCUGCCCCACCCGACUCCUCGGUCCCACCAGGAAGGGGGGAGGGGCUCUUGACACCCCUUCAGGUCUGUGGCCGGUAAAGGAGGAAGGGUGCCCCCGGGGAGACAGGUGGGGGGCCUGCCAGGCUGGCUUUCACACGAUACACCACCAGCUGGAGGGCAGGAGAAGGGAAGGCGGGUCCCUGAGGCUCCCAGGAAGCUUCCCCCCCGCCCUGCCCAGCCAGCUCCCACUCAGCAAGCAGCAUGGGGAGAGGCCGGGGGUACCUCCAAGGUCAGGGAGG